This is a long non-coding RNA of Centropristis striata (black sea bass), 1055 nucleotides long. RefSeq lists it as uncharacterized. The transcript is spliced from 3 exons. Lineage: Eukaryota; Metazoa; Chordata; Actinopteri; Perciformes; Serranidae. The record is from RefSeq and is a predicted model, not a curated record.
UAUGUCUACCGGAAAGGACUAAAAUUAACAAGGACGCUCCAUCAAACAAUACAAAAUCAAUAGAGGGGGAGAUUGAUUGUUUUCCCCUACAGUGGGCGGGACUUAAGUGUGGUCUGUCCUUAUGGCUAAUGUGGUAUACAUCCACUGAAGAUGAAGGGAAGAAAGGAGCAGCAGGGUCUUUGGAAAUAUCUGAUUGGAUUGCACUGUAGACAUCUGCAAGAAAGAGCUUUGAUGAUGCAACCCACUGCUGAAAAACAGUCAGGUGAGGUUACACCGUCCUCCAACCCGCUCUGCUAUCUAAUGAUGAACUCCUUUGAAGUUAAAAGGAGCUCAGCAUGGAUCUGUUCUUUUAUCUGCAUACGGAUAGCGAAUGAGUGGACUUUUCCCACACAAGAUUGGGCGAUCAAUACUUCUAGCUGGCGGAUUUCAGUGAUGUUUUUAGAUACGUUCGAAUGAAAUAAAAAGGAUGCUGGGAGUGCUCAGCUGAAACAACAACUUCACAUGUAUUGUUUAUGAGCAUGCACAAGUGGGACCAAUUACUCAACUGAAUAGCAAAAAACUAACUCGGAGACGAAUGAUACACCAGCUGAGAUCCACACAGCAACAUGGCAGUCUGGCACGCCGAUGGAUUUCUCAAUUAAGGAGUCUUGAUGAGAGUUUUUGUAAACAUUGUUAUUGCAAAAGUGAAGUAAUGUGGCACACCUGGCUUAACUCCACGGUGAGGUAAACAAGGAAAGGAAGUAAACUUAUCGAACAGGAACAAGACGCUUACUGUUAAGUUUUGUCUCACAUUCUGAAAAAAAAAAAAAAAACCUUAAAAAAAAAUUCCUCAUCCAUUAUUCCUGACUGAGAGUCCUCAUUUUGAUGAAGCUGUUUAUAGUAGUUCAUGUCCUUGUUUUCAGAAUCAUAAUUUUUUUUUAAAUUAUUAUAGCCGAGUAUGUUUUGUGUAUUGGUGCAUAAGAAGAAACAAACAAAGUACAAAAAUAUAGAUAUAGAUUAAGGCAAGUACUUCAGUAGCUUAAAUAGAAAAUGUAUAGAGCAGAAAGGUCAGCAUU